AGAGUUUGAUCAUGGCUCAGAUUGAACGCUGGCGGCAGGCCUAACACAUGCAAGUCGAACGGUAACAGAAAGCAGCUUGCUGCUUUGCUGACGAGUGGCGGACGGGUGAGUAAUGUCUGGGAAACUGCCCGAUGGAGGGGGAUAACUACUGGAAACGGUAGCUAAUACCGCAUAACGUCGCAAGACCAAAGAGGGGGACCUUAGGGCCUCUUGCCAUCGGAUGUGCCCAGAUGGGAUUAGCUAGUAGGUGGGGUAAAGGCUCACCUAGGCGACGAUCCCUAGCUGGUCUGAGAGGAUGACCAGCCACACUGGAACUGAGACACGGUCCAGACUCCUACGGGAGGCAGCAGUGGGGAAUAUUGCACAAUGGGCGCAAGCCUGAUGCAGCCAUGCCGCGUGUAUGAAGAAGGCCUUCGGGUUGUAAAGUACUUUCAGCGGGGAGGAAGGGAGUAAAGUUAAUACCUUUGCUCAUUGACGUUACCCGCAGAAGAAGCACCGGCUAACUCCGUGCCAGCAGCCGCGGUAAUACGGAGGGUGCAAGCGUUAAUCGGAAUUACUGGGCGUAAAGCGCACGCAGGCGGUUUGUUAAGUCAGAUGUGAAAUCCCCGGGCUCAACCUGGGAACUGCAUCUGAUACUGGCAAGCUUGAGUCUCGUAGAGGGGGGUAGAAUUCCAGGUGUAGCGGUGAAAUGCGUAGAGAUCUGGAGGAAUACCGGUGGCGAAGGCGGCCCCCUGGACGAAGACUGACGCUCAGGUGCGAAAGCGUGGGGAGCAAACAGGAUUAGAUACCCUGGUAGUCCACGCCGUAAACGAUGUCGACUUGGAGGUUGUGCCCUUGAGGCGUGGCUUCCGGAGCUAACGCGUUAAGUCGACCGCCUGGGGAGUACGGCCGCAAGGUUAAAACUCAAAUGAAUUGACGGGGGCCCGCACAAGCGGUGGAGCAUGUGGUUUAAUUCGAUGCAACGCGAAGAACCUUACCUGGUCUUGACAUCCACGGAAGUUUUCAGAGAUGAGAAUGUGCCUUCGGGAACCGUGAGACAGGUGCUGCAUGGCUGUCGUCAGCUCGUGUUGUGAAAUGUUGGGUUAAGUCCCGCAACGAGCGCAACCCUUAUCCUUUGUUGCCAGCGGUCCGGCCGGGAACUCAAAGGAGACUGCCAGUGAUAAACUGGAGGAAGGUGGGGAUGACGUCAAGUCAUCAUGGCCCUUACGACCAGGGCUACACACGUGCUACAAUGGCGCAUACAAAGAGAAGCGACCUCGCGAGAGCAAGCGGACCUCAUAAAGUGCGUCGUAGUCCGGAUUGGAGUCUGCAACUCGACUCCAUGAAGUCGGAAUCGCUAGUAAUCGUGGAUCAGAAUGCCACGGUGAAUACGUUCCCGGGCCUUGUACACACCGCCCGUCACACCAUGGGAGUGGGUUGCAAAAGAAGUAGGUAGCUUAACCUUCGGGAGGGCGCUUACCACUUUGUGAUUCAUGACUGGGGUGAAGUCGUAACAAGGUAACCGUAGGGGAACCUGCGGUUG
RNAcentral lists this ribosomal RNA (1522 nucleotides) under Escherichia coli. RNAcentral describes it as "bacterial SSU rRNA". It matches the Rfam family "Bacterial small subunit ribosomal RNA". RNAcentral also lists the same sequence under 2 other names. The record is from RNAcentral. Lineage: Bacteria; Pseudomonadati; Pseudomonadota; Gammaproteobacteria; Enterobacterales; Enterobacteriaceae.